RNAcentral lists this ribosomal RNA (492 nucleotides) under uncultured bacterium. RNAcentral describes it as "partial 16S ribosomal RNA". It matches the Rfam family "Bacterial small subunit ribosomal RNA", at positions 29 to 507 of the family's 1533-position model. The record is from RNAcentral.
AGUGAACGCUGGCGGCAGGCCUAACACAUGCAAGUCGAACGGCAGCACAGUAAGAGCUUGCUCUUACGGGUGGCGAGUGGCGGACGGGUGAGGUAUACAUCGGAAUCUACUUUUUCGUGGGGGAUAACGUAGGGAAACUUACGCUAACACCGCAUACGACCUACGGGUGAAAGCAGGGGAUCUUCGGACCUUGCGCGAUUGUAUGAGCCGAUGUCGGAUUAGCUAGUUGGCGGGGUAAAGGCCCACCAAGGCGACGAUCCGUAGCUGGUCCGAGAGGAAGAUCAGCCACACUGGAACUGAGACACGGUCCAGACUCCUACGGGAGGCAGCAGUGGGGAAUAUUGGACAAUGGGCGCAAGCCUGAUCCAGCCAUACCGCGUGAGUGAAGAAGGCCUUCGGGUUGUAAAGCCCUUUUGUUGGGAAAGAAAAGCAGCAGGUUAAUACCCCGCUGUUCUGACGGUACCCAAAGAAUAAGCACCGGCUAACUUCGUG